This 825-nucleotide long non-coding RNA is filed under the name Malus domestica (apple). RNAcentral's name for it is "long non-coding RNA (MDOM_LNC020927)". Lineage: Eukaryota; Viridiplantae; Streptophyta; Magnoliopsida; Rosales; Rosaceae. The record is from RNAcentral.
UUCUAAAAACAAUAUGAUUGUCAAUGAGAAGAUCUUCCAAUAUUUUCAUGACUCCAUAAGAUGUAGUUGGAAAAGAAAGACAAAUCUUAAGCAUGUUAAAGAUUUGGGGUUGUGUGCUAACAAGCAAUAUUUGUUUGAUAAUAAUCUUGUAGGAUAUCCUUAAAAUAACUUUUGGAUAUCGCUUCUAUAAACCAACUAACAAAUGUUGUUUUGUUGGAUAGUUCAUUGUAAUUCUACAAUGUGAUUUGCCUAAAAGCAAAUGAACGAGAGAUAGAACUCAAAAAGAAUGGGUUCUUUGAGAGACAAGAAAGUAAUCAACAAAUAUAACAACCUAGUUCCUAUACCACAAGCUCCAAGGUAGUCGAUAAGGAUUUAAAAACCGUCUCAGUUGAAUGGUUUUGAACUUUAUGACUAUGUCAUAGAGUUGCACCUCUUAAUUCGAAAGAAAUAAGAAUGAAAAUCCUUAUGACUACAUUGAGUGCAUAUACGAUAUAUACUCAAGGAAAUGGUAAAGUACCAUUUGACUCGAAAUAAUGAAACCUUCAUAGCUAAUUGGUAGCUUAAGGUGACUACAAUCAAAGAGAAUGGUUAACUUUAAAGGAACCAUUUUUGACGUAGUCUUAGUUUCAAUUAAUUCGAAGAUUGUUAGCUACAACUAAAUGGUGAUUCAAUGUUUUGACAUAAUAUGGGUUUCCGAAACCAUUAUUAAGAUAGUCUUGAUAAUAUAUGUCUAAAACUAUGAAUCACAAAACAUGAAAGUUGUAGAGAUCCAUCCAUCAUGGAUCUUAGCAAGUUAGUGGGAGCUAUUUGCAUUUUAUGAGAAAA